GACGAACGCUGGCGGCGUGCUUAACACAUGCCAGUCGAACGGAAAGGCCUGCUUUCCCUUGUGGAUUGCGGGUACUCGAGUGGCGAACGGGUGGGUAACACGUGAGUGAUCUGCCCCCAACUUGGGUAUAAGCCUGGGAAACUGGGUCUAAUUCCCGAUAGGACUGCAGGGUGGUGCCUGUGGUGGAAAACGAUUUUCUAGUGGUUGGGGAUGAGCUCGCGGCCUAUCAGCUUGUUGGUGGGGUAAUGGCCUACCAAGGCGGCGACGGGUAGCCGGCCUGGGAGGGUGGACGGCCACAUUGGGACUGAGAUACGGCCCAGACUCCUACGGGAGGCAGCAGUGGGGAAUAUUGCACAAUGGGCGGAAGCCUGAUGCAGCGACGCCGCGUGGGGGAUGACGGCCUUCGGGUUGUAAACUCCUUUCGACCGCGAGGAAGCCACCUGGUUGGAAGGGUGGUGACGGUAGUGGUAGAAGAAGCACCGGCUAACUACGUG
RNAcentral lists this ribosomal RNA (494 nucleotides) under uncultured bacterium. RNAcentral describes it as "partial 16S ribosomal RNA". It matches the Rfam family "Bacterial small subunit ribosomal RNA", at positions 28 to 507 of the family's 1533-position model. The record is from RNAcentral.